CUUCAGGUGGCUCAGUGGUAGAGUGCUUGCCUUGAAUGCAUGAGGCUCUGGGUUCAAUUCCAAUUCCUCAGCA
Molecule: non-coding RNA, 73 nt
Organism: Dipodomys ordii (Ord's kangaroo rat)
Lineage: Eukaryota; Metazoa; Chordata; Mammalia; Rodentia; Heteromyidae
Source: Rfam